CUUGGUAAUAAAUUGCCAGUUAAGAACCUAAUACAUAUGUACCUGAAAUUAGAUGUGGAAAUCUGUAGGUAUCCCGACUUACGUUAUGCUUCCCGUUCCCACCUAUUACGUAACCCCGGGGUAUUACUAUAUUACAAGUAUUAUUUUGGAGUUAUUAUAUUCAUGCCAAACAUGCCUAAGAUUUCAUAUAUCCAUAUAUUGCCUAUAUAGAUGGUUAAGAAAUUGUUCGUGCAACCUGAUAAAAAUUUUACACAGUUCAUCCUCUUUAUACAUUAUUAUUUAUAAAUCUUGAAUCAAAAAUAUACAAAAAAUAAUAAUUUAUUUGUCAAUAAAUUCUUGUUUGAAUUGGUUGCGUAAUCACCGAAAUAUUUUUAAAACGUUUGUUUUUUAAUAAUUGUUUGAUUAUAAAUAUCAGUUUUCAUAGCUUUAAUUUGACCAAUAAU
Molecule: long non-coding RNA, 443 nt
Filed under: Androctonus crassicauda
Lineage: Eukaryota; Metazoa; Arthropoda; Arachnida; Scorpiones; Buthidae
Source: RNAcentral